UACGAGGGGGGCAAGCGUUGUUCGGAAUUAUUGGGCGUAAAGGGCGCGUAGGCGGUGCGGUAAGUCACCUGUGAAAUCUCCGGGCUUAACUCGGAGUCUGCAGGCGAAACUGCCGUGCUCGAGUGCGAGAGAGGUCAGUGGAAUUGCAGGUGUAGCGGUGAAAUGCGUAGAUAUCUGCAGGAACACCCGUGGCGAAGGCGGCUGACUGGAUCGCAACUGACACUGAGGAGCGAAAGCUAGGGGAGCAAACAGG
This 253-nucleotide ribosomal RNA is filed under the name uncultured bacterium. RNAcentral's name for it is "partial 16S ribosomal RNA". It matches the Rfam family "Bacterial small subunit ribosomal RNA", at positions 524 to 776 of the family's 1533-position model. The record is from RNAcentral.